AGAAAGGAUAAGGUGAGAUGAUAUGUUAUCAUCCUAAGUGGGACAAAAGCUAAAAAUAGAAGGGCAAGAGGAAAUUAUUGUAAAUUGAAUCCCAAAGGGAAUCAUCUCAAGGAGGUUUGUGCUGCCCCCUGCGGGCCUUAAACUGGCAAUGUAGAAAAUUUGCACCUUCUUUGUUGACAUGGUGCCCAAGUUAAUGAAAACCCUAAUCAAUCUGCUAGAUAUCAAAGCAAGUUGCAAAUUUUGUUGCAUUCUUAAUUUUCUUCCAUUCCAUUUAAACAUAAUGGUGGUGGAGGGCAUCAGUAUCAUCAUUGUUAUCAUUCAGUCUAUGUUAUUAAAGUGACUUUGUUUUUCCCUUUCCAGGUAAUUGCCGAAAACCUCUCUG
Molecule: unclassified non-coding RNA, 382 nt
Filed under: Hevea brasiliensis (rubber tree)
Lineage: Eukaryota; Viridiplantae; Streptophyta; Magnoliopsida; Malpighiales; Euphorbiaceae
Source: RNAcentral